AAUAGAUACCCCGGUAGUCCACGCCGUAAACGAUGAGUGCUAAGUGUUAGAGGGUUUCCGCCCUUUAGUGCUGCAGCAAACGCAUUAAGCACUCCGCCUGGGGAGUACGGUCGCAAGACUGAAACUCAAAGGAAUUGACGGGGGCCCGCACAAGCGGUGGAGCAUGUGGUUUAAUUCGAAGCAACGCGAAGAACCUUACCAGGUCUUGACAUCCCGUGACAACUCUAGAGAUAGGGCUUUCCCCUUCGGGGGACACGGUGACAGGUGGUGCAUGGUUGUCGUCAGCUCGUGUCGUGAGAUGUUGGGUUAAGUCCCGCAACGAGCGCAACCCUUGAUCUUAGUUGCCAGCAUUCAGUUGGGCACUCUAAGGUGACUGCCGGUGACAAACCGGAGGAAGGUGGGGAUGACGUCAAAUCAUCAUGCCCCUUAUGACCUGGGCUACACACGUGCUACAAUGGAUGGUACAAAGGGCAGCGAAACCGCGAGGUGGAGCUAAUCCCUUAAAGCCGGUCUCAGUUCGGAUCGCAGGCUGCAACG
Molecule: ribosomal RNA, 537 nt
Filed under: uncultured bacterium
Lineage: Bacteria
Description: bacterial SSU rRNA
Rfam family: Bacterial small subunit ribosomal RNA
Source: RNAcentral